GGAUUGUGGCUCAGCGGUAGAGCACUUGCCUAGCAUGUGCAAGGCCCUGGAUUCGAGCCUCAGCACCA
RNAcentral lists this transfer RNA (68 nucleotides) under Marmota monax (woodchuck). Its description in RNAcentral is "tRNA.Ala". The record is from RNAcentral. Lineage: Eukaryota; Metazoa; Chordata; Mammalia; Rodentia; Sciuridae.